GCUUAACACAUGCAAGUCGAACGAUGAAGCCUAGCUUGCUGGGUGGAUUAGUGGCGAACGGGUGAGUAACACGUGAGCAACCUGCCCUGGACUCUGGGAUAAGCGCUGGAAACGGCGUCUAAUACUGGAUAUGAGCCUCUAUCGCAUGGUGGGGGUUGGAAAGAUUUUUCGGUCUGGGAUGGGCUCGCGGCCUAUCAGCUUGUUGGUGAGGUAAUGGCUUACCAAGGCGUCGACGGGUAGCCGGCCUGAGAGGGUGACCGGCCACACUGGGACUGAGACACGGCCCAGACUCCUACGGGAGGCAGCAGUGGGGAAUAUUGCACAAUGGGCGGAAGCCUGAUGCAGCAACGCCGCGUGAGGGAUGACGGCCUUCGGGUUGUAAACCUCUUUUAGCAGGGAAGAAGCGUGAGUGACGGUACCUGCAGAAAAAGCGCCGGCUAACUACGUGCCAGCAGCCGCGGUAAUACNUAGGGCGCAAGCGUUAUCCGGAAUUAUUGGGCGUAAAGAGCUCGUAGG
This 516-nucleotide ribosomal RNA is filed under the name soil bacterium S86M2. RNAcentral's name for it is "bacterial SSU rRNA". It matches the Rfam family "Bacterial small subunit ribosomal RNA", at positions 46 to 575 of the family's 1533-position model. The record is from RNAcentral.